Molecule: ribosomal RNA, 892 nt
Filed under: Phaeophleospora eucalypticola
Lineage: Eukaryota; Fungi; Ascomycota; Dothideomycetes; Mycosphaerellales; Mycosphaerellaceae
Description: eukaryotic LSU rRNA
Rfam family: Eukaryotic large subunit ribosomal RNA
Source: RNAcentral
GCAUAUCAAUAAGCGGAGGAAAAGAAACCAACAGGGAUUGCCCUAGUAACGGCGAGUGAAGCGGCAACAGCUCAAAUUUGAAAUCUGGCGCAAGCCCGAGUUGUAAUUUGUAGAGGAUGCUUCUGGGCAGCGGCCGUUCUAAGUUCCUUGGAACAGGACGUCAUAGAGGGUGAGAAUCCCGUAUGUGACCGGCACGUACCCUCCACGUAGCUCCUUCGACGAGUCGAGUUGUUUGGGAAUGCAGCUCUAAAUGGGAGGUAAAUUUCUUCUAAAGCUAAAUACCGGCCAGAGACCGAUAGCGCACAAGUAGAGUGAUCGAAAGAUGAAAAGCACUUUGGAAAGAGAGUUAAAAAGCACGUGAAAUUGUUGAAAGGGAAGCGCUUACAACCAGACUUCGUGGCGGUGUUCCGCCGGUCUUCUGACCGGUCUACUCGCCGCCGCGAGGCCAGCAUCGUCUGGGGCCGCCGGAUAAGACCUUGGGAAUGUAGCUUGCCUCGGUAAGUGUUAUAGCCCAUGGUGAUGCGGCGUGCCUCGGGCGAGGUCCGCGCUUCGGCAAGGAUGCUGGCGUAAUGGUUGUCAGCGGCCCGUCUUGAAACACGGACCAAGGAGUCUAACAUCUAUGCGAGUGUUCGGGUGUCAAACCCCUACGCGUAAUGAAAGUGAACGGAGGUGGGAAGCGCAAGCUGCACCAUCGACCGAUCCUGAUGUCCUCGGAUGGAUUUGAGUAAGAGCAUAGCUGUUGGGACCCGAAAGAUGGUGAACUAUGCCUGAAUAGGGUGAAGCCAGAGGAAACUCUGGUGGAGGCUCGCAGCGGUUCUGACGUGCAAAUCGAUCGUCAAAUUUGGGUAUAGGGGCGAAAGACUGAUCGAACCAUCUAGUAGCUGGUUCCUGC